GACGAACGCUGGCGGCGUGCUUAACACAUGCAAGUCGAACGGAAAGGCCCUGCUUUUGUGGGGUGCUCGAGUGGCGAACGGGUGAGUAACACGUGAGUAACCUGCCCUUGACUUUGGGAUAACUUCAGGAAACUGGGGCUAAUACCGGAUAGGAGCUCCUGCUGCAUGGUGGGGGUUGGAAAGUUUCGGCGGUUGGGGAUGGACUCGCGGCUUAUCAGCUUGUUGGUUGGGUAGUGGCUUACCAAGGCUUUGACGGGUAGCCGGCCUGAGAGGGUGACCGGCCACAUUGGGACUGCGAUACGGCCCAGACUCCUACGGGAGGCAGCAGUGGGGAAUAUUGCACAAUGGGCGGAAGCCUGAUGCAGCAACGCCGCGUGCGGGAUGACGGCCUUCGGGUUGUAAACCGCUUUCGCCUGUGACGAAGCGUGAGUGACGGUAAUGGGUAAAGAAGCACCGGCUAACUACGUG
RNAcentral lists this ribosomal RNA (468 nucleotides) under uncultured bacterium. RNAcentral describes it as "partial 16S ribosomal RNA". It matches the Rfam family "Bacterial small subunit ribosomal RNA", at positions 28 to 507 of the family's 1533-position model. The record is from RNAcentral.